CCCCUUGAUGAUGAAGAAUUGGUGAUGUAUAUCUGUAAUGGCCUUGAUUUUGAGUACAAUUCUAUAGUUUCCUCUCUUGUAACCAGAUCAGAUCCGGUUACCCCUCCUGAAUUGUACUCCCAACUCUUAAGCUUUGAAA
Oryza brachyantha (malo sina) is the source of this 139-nucleotide non-coding RNA. The record is from Rfam. NCBI's taxonomy places the organism in Eukaryota, Viridiplantae, Streptophyta, Magnoliopsida, Poales, Poaceae.